CCACUCCUCCUCCUCUUCCUCCUCCUCCUCCUCCUCCUCCUCCUCCUCCGCUGUCCCCUGUCCCUCCUGGGACCAGGGGCUCGGCAUUCCCUGGGCUGGAUUGGAGUUGGGCUCUGCCUUCCCCGUGGGCAUCUCCAUCCUCCUGUGCCACAGGGGGGUCCUGGAGCUGCUGCCUCCGCAGGGAGGGGCUCUCCUGGGAGUGGCACCCCGGGCUCUGUGCCCUUGAACCCCCCAGGGGCACAGUGGCCCCCAAGUCACAAAGGGACAUCCCAGCACCCCAACGGCCAUGGAACCACCUGGAACCCUCUGGAACCAGCCUGGGGCACCCCUGGGGCAGCCCCUGCUGUGCCCAGAGCCCUGUGAGGGUCUGGCCCCCGCUCUGGGGGUGCAGAGGGACUCGUUCCCCACCUUUGCAGGGGGUUUGUCCCCCUCGUGUGCAGGUGACGGGGUGAGUGGGGCAGGUGACACCACAGGACGGGGCCACCCGGGGGGACCUGGGCACACUCGACAAGUGGCAGCACAAGGAGCUCCCGCGGUUCAGCCGGGCCGGCGCCUCGGCAGGAUGCGGGAGAUGCCUCGGGCCAGAACAAAAGCCUUCCCAGCAUCCAGCCCCGGGAGACAGACGGGGAACGGCUCCGUCCUGUGUGCCGGGCGUGUCCCGGCCCCGCGCCGGCCCCGUCCCUGCUCCCCGCCUGGGCGAGGAGCAUCCCUGGGUCGGGGGGGACCCAUCCCGGAGGAGCAUCCCUGGGUCGGGGGGGACCCAUCCCGGAGGAGCAUCCCUGGGGGAUGCAGAUCCGAAGGACCCCAUCCCUCAGGAGCACCCCGGCUGUUGUGGGACCGAAGGACCCGUCCCGUGGGAGCACCCCCGGGUGACACAGGGCUGGAGGACCCCGUCCCGCCGCCCCCUCGGCCGAGCGGGGCUCUGGGACAGCCCCGCGGAUGCGGCACAGGGAGCAGGGCCGGGCUGGGCUGGUGGGGGCCAGCUCUGCCCCCCUGCCCUGCCCGGCCCGGGCACCGCGGAGCUGCCCCGCUCCCUCCCCCCGCCGCUCCACAAAAUCCCAAUAAAAGAAGGAAAAGUCAA
Pseudopipra pipra is the source of this 1081-nucleotide long non-coding RNA. RefSeq lists it as uncharacterized. The record is from RefSeq and is a predicted model, not a curated record. Lineage: Eukaryota; Metazoa; Chordata; Aves; Passeriformes; Pipridae. The transcript is spliced from 2 exons.